UAUGACCAUCCUUGAGCAGUUUGGAUUGGAUAUGACGGAUUUGGCAAAGGAUAAAUUUACUCUUGAGCAAGAGUCUAAAACAAAAAAUGAAGAGAUAUUAAAGCAACAAAGCAACGAGAUUGAACAGCUACAUGUGAUUAAACAGUUGAGUCAGGAUCUGCACGCUAGCAACCAAAAGCAUGUGUUGAAGUCUGACAAGAAUAUUCACGUAGUAGUAAAUGACCUCAACCAGGAGAUAAUGCUGUUGACUGAAAAUGUUGGAGCUAUUGUAGUUGAAAAUGUAUGUCUUAAGGAGACGGUUAGUGAUUUAUACAAGUGCAGACAUAUGAUGCUAAGCGAGAUUGACCUCAAUACUAGCAGAACCAGCUAUGAAAAA
RNAcentral lists this unclassified non-coding RNA (376 nucleotides) under Hevea brasiliensis (rubber tree). The record is from RNAcentral. Lineage: Eukaryota; Viridiplantae; Streptophyta; Magnoliopsida; Malpighiales; Euphorbiaceae.